GCGGAUGUGGCGGAAUGGCAGACGCGCUUGUUUAAGGGGCAAGUUCGAAAGAGUGGAGGUUCGACCCCUCUCAUCCGCACCA
RNAcentral lists this transfer RNA (82 nucleotides) under Clostridia bacterium. RNAcentral describes it as "tRNA-Leu". It matches the Rfam family "tRNA". From Rfam's summary of the family: Transfer RNA (tRNA) molecules are approximately 80 nucleotides in length. Their secondary structure includes four short double-helical elements and three loops (D, anti-codon, and T loops). The record is from RNAcentral. Lineage: Bacteria; Bacillati; Bacillota; Clostridia.